RNAcentral lists this long non-coding RNA (215 nucleotides) under Solanum tuberosum (potato). RNAcentral describes it as "long non-coding RNA (STUB_LNC008488)". The record is from RNAcentral. Lineage: Eukaryota; Viridiplantae; Streptophyta; Magnoliopsida; Solanales; Solanaceae.
UUAAAUUAUGAUUCAAUUUUAUAUCAGUCUGUCCAAAAGAUGUUCUAGUGAAAGUGUUAAACUUAGCCUGGAUCUGCUAUUGGAAGUGUGAAUUUUUGUGGCACUAAACAAUGCAAUGGGUCUGGAUUCAUUUUUGCAUUAACAUUUGUUUAGACGAUUUUCUUUAUCGAAUUUUACUGUCUAAAAAGGAAAAAGCAAAGAAAUAAGACGUAUAC